ACUUAUCUGACGAGUCCCAAAUAGGACGAGACGUGUUUCCUGUAU
Non-coding RNA from Schistosoma margrebowiei, 45 nucleotides. The record is from Rfam. NCBI's taxonomy places the organism in Eukaryota, Metazoa, Platyhelminthes, Trematoda, Strigeidida, Schistosomatidae.